Molecule: long non-coding RNA, 1500 nt
Organism: Gymnodraco acuticeps
Lineage: Eukaryota; Metazoa; Chordata; Actinopteri; Perciformes; Bathydraconidae
Exons: 3
Source: RefSeq, a predicted model, not a curated record
GUGCUCCAGGCCUCUAGGGGGCGCGCUACGUGGAACAGAUUGAUGUCUGACCAGACCUAGAGAAAACGAACAAGAGGAAAUUGGGAGGAAAGAAAGUUCAUUUAAGGGGAGAAAGAUAUAAGAAGGCCGCCAUGUUGUGUCCUUUCUGUGGCCAACAUCUGGGGACAGUUCAAGUGUUCUGUGGCUCCUGUGGCAAACAUGUACAGUUUGUGGCAGAAGUUGAACACAACAGCAUUCCAUAAGGAGGGUCAGGAACUCAUGCUUGGGACCACCAGUGUCCCCUCCAUCCUCAGUGUGUUCCUCAUCAUCAGUGAACUUAACUGACAUCUCAUGAGAGGGAUCGAAUGAGGCACCUUUGAAGCCGCAGAUUUCUCCAUCCCACACAUUGGCUCUAUUCAUAUUGAACCUGCUGCAAUUUGUAUUUGUUAUUUUUGCAGAGAGUUCUGCAACAAUGUCCUCCGCAGUCAGGUAUUCUGUGCUGGGAAAGACAAAGUGAUGUAUUGUAAUAUUAAAUUAAAUAAGAUUACAGUAUAGAAUAGAACAAUUAAGUGGUAAUAGUAACAAUUAAUACCUUUGCUCCAUUUUGUCUUCUGGCUCAGACUGGCUAUCAAUAAUGACAAGUGCAUACACAUUUGUGUAGUUGCUGCAGUGAGAAGACAGUUGAAUAACUAUUUUCAAAUACAUAAUAUAUGGAUGACUUUUACGUUCCCUUCUAAAUCUCGGGGUACAAAGGGAAGUAACAACACACAAAAUAACCGGCCGAGAGAAAAAGGAGAGGACACUGAAUGCUGAAGCCACAAAGUGAGGUUUUAAUUAAUAAAAAAGUAAAGAGGCUCACCAGCCAAAUUGCAAAACAAACUUAAUUAACUAAGGACAACUUUCUUUCAAAAGAAAGGGACUAACGUAAAACAAUACACAAAGACACACAUCUCCUAACAAUUAGCAGUACACAGGUUAAACUAGGCCUCACACAGAGACACUACACUACAGCACGUAACACAGGCUGCACACAUGCAGCCAGAGGAGAAGGAGAGAACGACUGCAGCCUUCCUCAGGUCCUUUAUGGGGGCGCUGAUUGGGGAUUGGGAGCACCUGGGGAGAGGCUGCACCUGGAGACAAUCAGAGGGAGAGAGAGAGAGACACACACACAAAAGCACACACACAAGCACCAACUGCGGCACGUAACAGUUUGUCAUAUUUACAAAAGGAUGUUGAUCCUCUUCCUGUUUUUUUUUCAAUACAUUGGGUUCUAAACUGACAACAGUACUUUUGUCAUACUCCUGCACAAUCCUUGUAAACAUUUGAAAUGGAUGCAUCAAACAAUAUCUGAUCUUUGAUAAAUAUUUGUGGGUGUUUUUUGUAUUAUCUUCACUAAAAUGUCAGAUGUUGUGGGUGUCAUUUGGGAAUGUAUGAACGUAUAAUUGUUCUGCUUCCUGGCAAUGUUACCCACUGUGAUUGGAGGCUAUACAAACAAAUGUACAAAUAAAGAUACACACCACA